This 423-nucleotide ribosomal RNA is filed under the name Dendropsophus gaucheri group sp. ABGD cluster 31. RNAcentral describes it as "partial large subunit ribosomal RNA". It matches the Rfam family "Bacterial large subunit ribosomal RNA", at positions 1835 to 2457 of the family's 2925-position model. The record is from RNAcentral. Lineage: Eukaryota; Metazoa; Chordata; Amphibia; Anura; Hylidae.
CUCGACACUUAUGAGAGGUCCAGCCUGCCCAGUGACCAAGUUCAACGGCCGCGGUAUCCUAACCGUGCGAAGGUAGCGUAAUCACUUGUUCUUUAAAUGAGGACUAGUAUGAAUGGCACCACGAGGGCUAUACUGUCUCCUUUUUUUAAUCAAUGAAACUGAUCUCCCCGUGAAGAAGCGGGGAUAAACCUAUAAGACGAGAAGACCCUAUGGAGCUUCAAACAACGAUAGCACUGGCCCCCAUUUUUUACCCUCGAGAGAUACCACCAUUAUACUGGCCAAGAUGCCUAUCAGUUUUAGGUUGGGGUGACCGCGGAGCAAAAACCAACCUCCACGUUGAACGGAACUACUCCUGAGCCAAAAACUACAGCUUUAAGCACCAACAAACUGACAUUAAUUGACCCAACAUGUUGAUCAACGAAC